Sarcophilus harrisii (Tasmanian devil) is the source of this 1838-nucleotide long non-coding RNA. RefSeq lists it as uncharacterized. The transcript has 2 exons. NCBI's taxonomy places the organism in Eukaryota, Metazoa, Chordata, Mammalia, Dasyuromorphia, Dasyuridae. The record is from RefSeq and is a predicted model, not a curated record.
CCUGUCAAUGCUUGGCUCUAGGAGGACAAAAGCGGGGCAGGGCUGCACACUCACCUGCGGGGUGUCCUGAAACCCAUGCUUUAGAUUCCAGGACCCUUCAGAUAUUUAAGUACAUCUGAUUAACACCCUGGUGAAGAUGGGCAAAGAAAACAGUACCGACUGCUAUUCAGUGACUAUCUUGAGUGGGACAGAAAAACUAUAAAAAUAAUAACAGUCAUUUAUGCAGGCCCCUGCCUCUCAAAUGUUCAGUAUGGUAGGAAGACAGCCGAACUGAGACUCAGGUAACCUGGGUACUAGUCUCAAUUCUGCCACUGAUGGUAUAUAUGACAUCUGUCUUUUUGCCCCCCAAAUACUAUAAGGUAGGCAAUACAAAUAUUAUUAUCCACAUUUUACAUUUAUUGUAUUUACAUACAUUAAUCUCCUUUUGAAGAGACUGAGGUGAAUGUCCAGCUUCCCAAGUACAUGGGAAGAAAAGGGGAAGGCAUACCUCAUGUUGGGCAAGGGAAAAUGGAAGAGACAGAGACAUAGACACAAAGAGAUAGAGACUGUGGUAGGCGCUCACUUUGUUUUGUGUGUAUCUCUGAGUUUAUCUGUAUAUGAGAGUGUUUAUAUAUAUUUGUACCAAAUAUUACUUAGCUAGUAAUUUAAGUCUCCGGCUAGUAAGUUGCAUCCAGGGAGCCCUUGUAAGUAAAGCCAGCCUGGCAGUGCCACCCAAGGAAAUAGAAUGCUGGCCACAACAGAUACCCUGAAAUAUUUAAAACUGGAAACCACAGGGCUGGUUAUACAACCUGACAGCCCAUAGGGUGUGGGGGAUACCAAACCUCUCAGGGCCUAAGUUUCCUCAGCUGUAAAAACAGGUAAAUAAAUAAAAAAUAAGGGGAUUCUAGUAGGUGAUCUGGAAGAUUGUCUAGCUUGUGAUCUAUAAUCGAUGAACUGCAGUGUAGAGCAAUACUAGUCAACUUACCUAUCAUUCGUUGAGUCAAGAGAUACCUUCCCCAUUGACACAGUACUGUCUGAAAUCCCCCUUCUCCCUUGCCAGAUGAAAACCCUAUCCUUACUCAUUUUCAUUUUUCCUGGACAAAUUGAGAUGCUUGUACUUUAUCCUCUUCUCCAAAUACUUACACAUAUUUCCCAAACUGUGAAGGGAAAAUGAGGGAUGAACUUGGAAUGUGGAUUUAGACCCUUAAUGAAACAAAAGGGGUAUAAGAUUCCCGCAGAAGGCAAUGAGGCAUUUAUUUAUAUUUAUUAGUCUAUGGGAAAACAUACAUAUUUUGUACUUUUUCUGUAAGAAACUGGAAACAUUAGUAACCUGAGCUUCUAAAUGAUUCUCUUUCCUGAUACACUGCAGCAUGUCACCAUUCUGCUUUGGGGAAUGCAUACAACUCUGGUUUCAAGAAUGGGAAAGAGUUAAGAAGUGGGACUUAAUAGAGUUAGUACAUUGAAGGAUUAUUGCUUGGGAAAUAUAACAUUGGACACUAAGUAUGCCUCUGGUUUUAAGCUGCUGUGAAAGACCCAAUGUCAAGAAAUUAAAAAUUAUAGGUGUGUCAUGUUCUGCCCUGGUCACACCAAAACUGAAAUUCUAGUUGCCAUAUUUGAGGAUCAACACUGAGAAGCUGGAGGCCCAGGAGGGCAAUUGGGAAAAUAAAAGGCUUUGUGGUAAAAGGUUCAUGUUUAUGAGCCUUAAUUGAAGGAACUGUGGUUGUUUGGCUAAGAGAAGAAAAGACUUCAGGGGAACACGAUACCUAUGUUCAAGCAUAUGAAGUGCUGUCAUAGGAAAGAGAGAUUAGAUUUAUUCAAAUUAGUCCUAAGGGGAAAGAACAGAAGGAAUAUUCAGACAA